Molecule: long non-coding RNA, 3171 nt
Organism: Rhinopithecus roxellana (golden snub-nosed monkey)
Lineage: Eukaryota; Metazoa; Chordata; Mammalia; Primates; Cercopithecidae
Exons: 6
Source: RefSeq, a predicted model, not a curated record
GAGUAAGUAUUUAUUUAUAAAUUACUAAAUGAGUGGAAGGUCCUGGGUACUGGGAGGCAGGAGGUUGCAUAUUUGAGUUAAUAAGUUGUAUCACUGAUAAUAGAGAUAACUGACACACUAAAACAUACUUGGUGCACUGAAAUACAAAUUACAGUUAUGUUCAGUGGUGUCACUAAGUGACAAACUGGGAGUAAAUAGUUCAGGAAUGCCCUAGUCUCUAGGUCCAGUUCGAGUUGGUUACAGGACAAAGAAGCCAUUCAUAAAACGGAAGAGAUUUUUAGGUUUUGCAGCUAAGGUUUAUAGUAGGCAGCAAGGGAAUGAUUCAUAGUGGUUGUAACAGUUGAUUACCAGGUACUAUAGAGAUUGGUGUUAGCUCCAUGAUAAUACUGAUAGACUGAUUGGAGUUACAUUUUUUCUCUUGAAUUUACCAGGAGUGGUUGUGAAUGUCACCUUUUCCGUCUUUUAAAUCACAUCCUUGCAGGUGGUAAUUACUCAAGGAAAAGGAACUAUCAGAGUAAACAACAGUUCCUGUAACUGACUUGAUAUGGUCUCUGCCCAAAUAGCUUCUUGGAUUAAUGGCCACUCUCAGGUAAGGAAAAUAAAGAGGCCAAGCCUAGUUGCUUUAGGAGUUAUAGAAUACAGGUGUGACAUCAGUGUUCUCAGAAUUUGGAAAUGUUAAACUUCUUUAUUUACCAAAGCCACAACCAAAGUACUUUAUCUGGAUCUUUGAAGACAGAGCUCCUCAGUUCACACAAAUUGACUGAUGAAAAGACAAACACUUUUCCUCUACAAACCGUGGGGUAGUAUGUAGAGCAACCUGUGAUUUCUUCCCAUACUGCUCUGGAACUACUUCUAAUUAUACUUUUUUGUUCGUUUUUGGAGGGGAAGCAUUUCUCCUUGCAUUGGUUUGCUGGUAUGGAUGGCCCUUAGAUUUUGGCAUGAGUGAUUAUGCAGCAUAUUUGAAGAAAACCUGUUUUCAGGACCUUUUUAAUUAAAUAUGGCCUGUUCCGUGAGGUAAAGCGUCAUGUGAUACCGUUUUUUGACCACUUAGUUGAUGCCUCUGAAAGGAAGAGAGAAUCUGGUCGCUGAAAUCUGACGUGUCGUCAGUGUGGAUCCUACUCAGCAGUGUCACAACGAGGCUGAAAUUCAUGUUAAGUGCUUUUAGGACAGAAACGUAAACUGCUCAGGUAAAAUAACCUUGUAAAGAAAAGUAAGACUAUAUUGCAGAGGCCUUGGCUAGGUUCAUGAUGACACAGGACCUUGUCUGAACAUAAUGAUUUCAAAAUUUGAGCUUAAAAAUGACACUCUGAAAUCCAGUCAGUGUGCCUCAUUAGACUUUUCGAUUUCAAGAUUUUCUGCAGAAAAUGUUGUGAAAACUUUGAAUACUUAAAAAUGGCAGGUGUAUUAUUGCACUUUGCUAGUUGCUCAGAUACCCUUUUUUAUUUGUAUAGUCUGAGUUCCUUUUUUUUCCCACAUGUUGUACGUUGUUGAAAGCUAAAAGGAAACUUACCCUUGGAUCAUGGAAGGCACAGGCACUUGGUGAGAUGGAAACAAGGAUGUGUGAAAAUGAGACUACCACCUCUCGGAUAAAAAAAAAGUUCCAGAGUUCUAGGGUUCUAAGUGAUGUCCAGGAAAGAGGAGGAAUUAUAUUUAUGGAGCAUAUAUUGUGGAACACAGAAAUUUUAGAGACAACCACUUUGUGCCUGUCUUCAUCCUUGACAUUCAACAUCCUAGGAACAAUGGGCUGUUGUAUUCAACAACUUGUUCUAAACAGCAUUAUGAAUGAUUUUUGAUUGAUCUCACAAAGAGCAUGUGAUUGAGACAUUAAUGCAGCAACUACCAUGAAACGGAGUAUUGGAUUACCCGAGGAAAGAAGCAGAAGAUGGAAUUUGAGACAAUCAGGAUGAGUGCAAAACUUAUUUGCAGCUAACCUGCAAAUGGAAUCAUCAGGAACAUCCCUUUCUUACGGAGUCCCUUAAUUUACAACUUAACUGCAAACAUAGGAGAUGGUAGUUCCAAGAAGGAACAUUUUAUCAUCUUUGUUUUUAAUCUCAAGAAUGGUACCUACCAUCAGUGAAUGACCUGUUGCAGUGCUUUCAUUGAAGUGUUCUUCAUUCCCUCAGCAAUAUGAUUGUGAUGACUGAAAAAGGGAACCUGUGCUACUAUUUGUACCAUCAUCUUCACCAAAAUCAAAAAAUGCUUUUUAUGAUGUAUGGAGACACUCUUCAUGUGUGUUUCAGUGGACAUUCCUUGCAGAUACAAAAAACUGAGCAAGCUCACUUUUGGAAAGUGACCUAAAGAGUGUCAUUGAAGUGAAUUUUAAGUAGGCACGACGAUUGUUUUCAUGGUUGCUGUUGGAUCAUAUCUCAGGAGCUGGAACUACAGACAUUACUGAACAAAGAAAUCAGGAUAGUGGAACUUAAAGAGCUUCAUCUCAGUGCUUUCAUAAGUAUGAAGUGCAUAUAUUUAUAAUUUUCGCUAAUCACAGGGUAAAUAUAAAAUUGAUUCAUUAAAAAUGUUUCAUAAGAAUUCAAAGGACUAGAAUUUUGUGAAAUGUAGUAGUUUUACUUAAGUGCCUUUUCUUUAUUUCUAGCCCCGAGCCAAUUUUUUAUAAACCAGUUGAUACAUAAGUAGUUUUGGGGGGAUGAUAUAUUAUACAUUUUCUGUGUAGUAAACAUGUACAUGUAUGUGUGUGGAUGUGUAUCUGAUUAGUUUGUUGGAGUGAUUCCUAUGGUUUGGAACUGCUGGGGCCAUGUUUAGGCAAAAGUCUACAUUUUUGAGUAAACUCCCCAUGACUAGAGCAAAUUUCCCCAGUAUUUGAGAAUUCUUCAUUUCCUAAAGCUGUACAAAACAUCAGAUAAUAUUUGUAAGGAUCGAUAAUGUAAUUUAUAAUGAAAUUGCUUUCUGAGCUAUUAAUGUUAACUGUAUCAUCUUAAUAUUGCCUUAAAACUCAUUUGUGCUAUUCCAUUUUCCUCUGUUCCUUUUAUUUUCACUUCCUUUCUAAUGUUAGUCUCCUCGUACUGAUCUCUGAAGAGUUCAUUUGUGAUUACAGAUGUUAACAUUUUGUCUAGAAUAGCAAAUAUGUUUUUUCUCAUUCAUUUUACUAUGGUGUUUUAUUUUUUGGUUAUAUAGAAGUUGUAUAUUGAAAUAUAAUCUUGUUCUGUUUUAUGA